UGAGAUCUGUUACGUUGCUGUUAUUAGAGUGACGUGAAUUCGCAAUAAACGUUCAGCACGGUUCGCCCGUCGUUAAUUACGCCCGUUUCGACGAAACGCAAGAGAGUACAAUCAGUGGCCGAGCAGACGACGAAAUCGACAGUUGGAGGAUCACCGUCGACAACUGAAACAUUCCGAUAUCGUGUUCGUACAGUGGACGUACACCAUGCUACCGAGUUAAGUCGUCGUCGAGUCAGAUUUGUCGAGUAUUUUUGUUAUUGGCCACGCGGUUAGCAACGAAUGGCUAUCGAAAAGUCGUCGGAAAGAAACGUAAUAGUAACGAAAGCAAAUGACAAAGAGAAUAAUUAUCGAAAAAUUUUCUCUUUAAGUUGCUUCAACCUUAGAAGCCUGAUUUUCCAAAUUCAAGGGCUAAGUAAGUGAUUUUGUGAUAUCUUAUUACUAUAUACUGUGAAGCGAGCUGCCUAGUCCCCUUGUCCCGGCCCCCUUCGGCUUGUUGACACUCGGCAACUUAACUUGGAAGCACUGUACGUAUGACUUAUGGAGACGUCGCGUGAACUAUAUCGAUAACGUAUCGUUUAGGAAAAUAUCUGUCAAUUCCUCGAAUAAAUUAACCGAUUUCUGCGGUUAAUACGCAUAUUCUGAGUGGAGUUUGCACUUUGCGGUGGCGAUAGAUAACACGAUCUCUCGGAGAAGAAAGUCAACUUCGGUAGAAGGAUGAUAAUUAAUAAUUGUUGACAGCGUGGUUUCAAUUACGACGCUCUCGAAUGGUUUCGGUCGUCAUUUUUGGGAUUUCUUGGGAAAUCCGAUGUGAAGAAGAGUAGUGCUAGGUAGAUGGAGCUGUUUUAUUUAGUGACAAUGAAUUUGGAAAUAAUGUUUACAUUCUGCCGCGUCCAACUUCGCGCGUAACGUUGUAAAAUAACCAAAAAUCAAGAAACGGACUUGUAAUUCUUUACGAUUUACAUAAUUCGUAACCGUUUCCAAGGAAAUAUGACGCGUUCCUUGUAACAAAGAGCGAUGAAAAAUAUCAUUCAUGGAAGGGAACACGUAAAAUAAUUGCGGAACGUUGUCGAUGAUCGUUAAUAUCUCUUGAGAAGAAAAUACGAAUUACCGUAUACGAUUACAAGUUUAUUAUGCGGAGCUACGUAAGUAUAAUAACACUUCGUAGCAUCUUUUCCUUAAUCAUUGACAAUUGCGUUGUUCCGUCCGUGUGAAUCCGUUGCACUUCAUUUUGUUGCCCAAGGCUGAAGCGAGUAUCGUUGCAUUCCCCGGCGAUGGAAGUGGAUAGCAAUAAUUACCAAACCACUCGAUACCGUUUGCCACGAUUCAUGACAGAAAAUCGAAAGUUUACGAGGAACGAUUCUAAUUAUUAAAUAAACCAAACCGAAACGAUACUAAGCUGUUUCUUGUCCACGAUGAAUGAUCAGUUUACCAACAUCGGUGACAGUAUUCUUGUUUACACGACGAUGCAGAAAUAGUCGUAACGAGAGACGCCAGGAUAAUUGUUUCACGUACCUGAGUCUCGUCUCUAUGACUCAAUUCGAUCUAGGCUGAUAAUUCAUGGGCGAUCUUAAGCAAAAAGAAUUUUAAUCUAUCACGACCUUGGCCUAUCGAGGCAAAUCCUAUCUAUGACUAGCGAGGAAUUUGAUAAUCUACCAGUUGACAACACGUAAAAAAUUUAUUCAAAUUCAACGUGAUCAAACAAAAGUUUCCUAACAUA
Long non-coding RNA from Hylaeus volcanicus, 1717 nucleotides. RefSeq lists it as uncharacterized. The record is from RefSeq and is a predicted model, not a curated record. The transcript has 3 exons. Lineage: Eukaryota; Metazoa; Arthropoda; Insecta; Hymenoptera; Colletidae.